This 70-nucleotide small RNA is filed under the name Cedecea davisae. Its description in RNAcentral is "Enterobacterial sRNA STnc240". It matches the Rfam family "Enterobacterial sRNA STnc240". Lineage: Bacteria; Pseudomonadati; Pseudomonadota; Gammaproteobacteria; Enterobacterales; Enterobacteriaceae. The record is from RNAcentral.
AUGGUGCAAAAUACGCGCCAGCAAAAAUAGAAGACUAACCGACGUUUAAGAGACGUCGGUUAUUUUUUUG